AGAGUUUGAUUCUGGCUCAGGAUGAACGCUAGCGACAGGCCUAACACAUGCAAGUCGAGGGGCAGCGAGAAUAAAGCUUGCUUUAUUUGUCGGCGACCGGCGCACGGGUGAGUAACGCGUAUGCAACCUUCCGCUACUCGGGGGAUAACCCGAAGAAAUUCGGACUAACACCGUAUGUGCUUAUAAUUCGCAUGAAUUUUAAGUGAAAAGUUAUGAGUAGCGAUGGGCAUGCGUAUGAUUAGCUAGUUGGCGGGGUAACGGCCCACCAAGGCGACGAUCAUUAGGGGUUCUGAGAGGAAGGUCCCCCACACUGGUACUGAGACACGGACCAGACUCCUACGGGAGGCAGCAGUGAGGAAUAUUGGUCAAUGGGCGAGAGCCUGAACCAGCCAAGUCGCGUGAAGGAUGACUGAUCUAUGGUUUGUAAACUUCUUUUAUAAGGGAAUAAAGUGCAGCACGUGUGCUGUUUUGUAUGUACCUUAUGAAUAAGCAUCGGCUAACUCCGUGCCAGCAGCCGCGGUAAUACGGAGGAUGCGAGCGUUAUCCGGAUUUAUUGGGUUUAAAGGGUGCGUAGGCGGGUUGAUAAGUCAGUGGUGAAAGUUUGCGGCUCAACCGUAAAAUUGCCGUUGAAACUGUCAAUCUUGAGUGCAAACGAGGCAGGCGGAAUGCGCCGUGUAGCGGUGAAAUGCUUAGAUAUGGCGCAGAACCCCGAUUGCGAAGGCAGCUUGCCAGCAUGCAACUGACGCUGAGGCACGAAAGCGUGGGUAUCAAACAGGAUUAGAUACCCUGGUAGUCCACGCAGUAAACGAU
RNAcentral lists this ribosomal RNA (810 nucleotides) under uncultured bacterium. RNAcentral describes it as "bacterial SSU rRNA". It matches the Rfam family "Bacterial small subunit ribosomal RNA", at positions 8 to 810 of the family's 1533-position model. The record is from RNAcentral.